GAUAAACGCUGGCGGCGCACAUAAGACAUGCAAGUCGAACGGACUUAACCAUUAGUUUACUAUUGGAGCGGUUAGUGGCGGACUGGUGAGUAACACGUAAGCAACCUGCCUAUCAGAGGGGAACAACAGUUAGAAAUGACUGCUAAUACCGCAUAUGCCUUAGCAACACAUGUUGCAAAAGGGAAAGGAGCAAUCCGCUGAUAGAUGGGCUUGCGUCUGAUUAGAUAGUUGGUGAGGUAACGGCCCACCAAGUCGACGAUCAGUAGCCGGACUGAGAGGUUGAACGGCCACAUUGGGACUGAGAUACGGCCCAG
RNAcentral lists this ribosomal RNA (314 nucleotides) under uncultured bacterium. Its description in RNAcentral is "bacterial SSU rRNA". It matches the Rfam family "Bacterial small subunit ribosomal RNA", at positions 28 to 334 of the family's 1533-position model. The record is from RNAcentral.